UCAUUUCUAGUCUAGUUAAGGAUGUUGCUUUGUCGUGGCGGUGGGGUAUGUUUUGUACGGGAUGAG
This 66-nucleotide transfer RNA is filed under the name Fasciola hepatica (liver fluke). RNAcentral describes it as "tRNA-Asp". Lineage: Eukaryota; Metazoa; Platyhelminthes; Trematoda; Plagiorchiida; Fasciolidae. The record is from RNAcentral.